AUGUAGCACUCGUACACUCCGGUUCCUGCGCGCCGUCCACACCCACCUGACGGCCGCUCGCUACGCUCUGUUAGCC
This 76-nucleotide small RNA is filed under the name Xanthomonas melonis. RNAcentral describes it as "sX9 sRNA". It matches the Rfam family "Xanthomonas sRNA sX9". The record is from RNAcentral. Lineage: Bacteria; Pseudomonadati; Pseudomonadota; Gammaproteobacteria; Lysobacterales; Lysobacteraceae.